Molecule: ribosomal RNA, 698 nt
Filed under: Salmonella enterica subsp. salamae
Lineage: Bacteria; Pseudomonadati; Pseudomonadota; Gammaproteobacteria; Enterobacterales; Enterobacteriaceae
Description: partial 23S ribosomal RNA
Rfam family: Bacterial large subunit ribosomal RNA
Source: RNAcentral
UUGCGGACAGUGUCUGGUGGGUAGUUUGACUGGGGCGGUCUCCUCCUAAAGAGUAACGGAGGAGCACGAAGGUUGGCUAAUCCUGGUCGGACAUCAGGAGGUUAGUGCAAUGGCAUAAGCCAGCUUGACUGCGAGCGUGACGGCGCGAGCAGGUGCGAAAGCAGGUCAUAGUGAUCCGGUGGUUCUGAAUGGAAGGGCCAUCGCUCAACGGAUAAAAGGUACUCCGGGGAUAACAGGCUGAUACCGCCCAAGAGUUCAUAUCGACGGCGGUGUUUGGCACCUCGAUGUCGGCUCAUCACAUCCUGGGGCUGAAGUAGGUCCCAAGGGUAUGGCUGUUCGCCAUUUAAAGUGGUACGCGAGCUGGGUUUAGAACGUCGUGAGACAGUUCGGUCCCUAUCUGCCGUGGGCGCUGGAGAACUGAGGGGGGCUGCUCCUAGUACGAGAGGACCGGAGUGGACGCAUCACUGGUGUUCGGGUUGUCAUGCCAAUGGCACUGCCCGGUAGCUAAAUGCGGAAGAGAUAAGUGCUGAAAGCAUCUAAGCACGAAACUUGCCCCGAGAUGAGUUCUCCCUGAGACUUAGAGUCUCCUGAAGGAACGUUGAAGACGACGACGUUGAUAGGCCGGGUGUGUAAGCGCAGCGAUGCGUUGAGCUAACCGGUACUAAUGAACCGUGAGGCUUAACCUUACAACGCCGAAG